Long non-coding RNA from Gopherus flavomarginatus (Mexican gopher tortoise), 895 nucleotides. RefSeq lists it as uncharacterized. NCBI's taxonomy places the organism in Eukaryota, Metazoa, Chordata, Testudines, Testudinidae. The transcript has 3 exons. The record is from RefSeq and is a predicted model, not a curated record.
CUUGCUGCGCUCCAGCUGGGGCUCCAGCCAGGAGAGCGGGGCCGCGGGGCUUGCAACACUCCGGCUGGAGCUCCAGCCGGGAAAGCGGGGCUGCGGGGCUUGCUGUGCUCCGGCCAGGGCUCCAGCCAGGAGAGCGGGGCUGCGGGGCUUGCCGCACUCCAGCCGAGGCUACAGCCGGAGCCGCGGGGCUUGCUGGGCUCCAGCCUGUGCUUCGCUCAAGGGAGCAGGACCACCCGGAAGACCCCAGAGCAGAUCGCAGCCAGGGACCCGGGACUCUUUCUCCUGGAGUGUCUUAAUCAAAACCUGCCAACUCGCUGCUAAUGAGGAAUCUGCAUCUUCCUGUAUGCGAUAAUUUUUCUGUUACAAGAGAAGAUCCUCUAAUGGAAUUGAUUCCUCUUGAAGACUAUGGAAUAUCCAAAAGACUAAAGAGAGAGGAUAUUUUACACUGGCUGAAAUCCUAGCCUUCAUUGAAGACAAUGGCAAAAUUCCCACUAAAUGCAAUGGGGCCCAGAUUUCACCCACUGUAUUUUACAUUUGUUUUAUUUCUUCACUGUGUAUUUGUAUUCCCUGGCAUUGGAGGGUGGGUAUACAUCCUCUUGUGUAUCUGGUCCGUUGUGCAAAAUGAGGACCAUGGAUGAAAGCCUGACCCCACUGAAGUUAACAAAAAAAACCCCAAAACCUCUCAUUUGACUUCAAUAUGCACAGGAAUUCACCACUGAUCCUCCAGUUGACGGCAUGCAAGGGGAUUGCUGUGCCCACACAAAGCCCCAACAGUACUGGGCCUGAAAGAUUUCCCAACAGAGGUGACCUGUGAAUUACUGUUCAUUUUUGUUCCAACUUGAUUUCAACCUCCAACUAUGCAGGUGGGAAGGCACUCCCUUUUUGGGUUGGAAAA